Molecule: ribosomal RNA, 266 nt
Filed under: uncultured bacterium
Lineage: Bacteria
Description: partial 16S ribosomal RNA
Rfam family: Bacterial small subunit ribosomal RNA
Source: RNAcentral
GACGAACGCUGGCGGCGUGCUUAACACAUGCAAGUCGAGCGGUAAGGCCCUUUCGGGGGUACACGAGCGGCGAACGGGUGAGUAACACGUGGGUGACCUGCCCUCAGCUCUGGGAUAAGCCCGGGAAACUGGGUCUAAUACCGGAUAUGACUUCAUGACGCAUGUUGUGGAGUGGAAAGCCUUGUGCGGCUGAGGAUGGGCCCGCGGCCUAUCAGCUUGUUGGUGGGGUGANGGCCUACCAAGGCGACGACGGGUAGCCGGCCUGA